This 497-nucleotide ribosomal RNA is filed under the name uncultured bacterium. RNAcentral describes it as "partial 16S ribosomal RNA". It matches the Rfam family "Bacterial small subunit ribosomal RNA", at positions 28 to 507 of the family's 1533-position model. The record is from RNAcentral.
GAUGAACGCUGGCGGCGUGCCUAAUACAUGCAAGUCGAGCGAACAGACGAGGAGCUUGCUCCUCUGACGUUAGCGGCGGACGGGUGAGUAACAUGUGGAUAACCUACCUAUAAGACUGGGAUCACUUCGGGAAACCGGAGCUAAUACCGGAUAAUAUAUUGAACUGCAUGGUUCAAUAGUGAAAGACGGUUUUGCUGUCACUUAUUGAUGGAUCCGCGCCGCAUUAGCUAGUUGGUAAGGUAACGGAUUACCAAGGCAACGAUGCGUAGCCGACCUGAGAGGGUGAUCGGCCACACGGGAACUGAGACACGGUCCAGACUCCGACGGGAGGCAGCAGUAGGGAAUCUUCCGCAAUGAGCGAAAGCGUGACGGAGCAACGCCGCGUGAGUGAUGAAGGUCUUCGGAGCGUAAAACUCUGUUAUUAGGGAAGAACAAAUGUGUAAGUAACUAUGCACGUCUUGACGGUACCUAAUCAGAAAGCCACGGCUAACUACGUG